GUCUACGGCCAUACCACCCUGAACGCGCCCGAUCUUGUCUGAUCUCGGAAGCUAAGCAGGGUCGGGCCUGGUUAGUACUUGGAUGGGAGAACACAUAGCCUACCAUAAUAU
RNAcentral lists this ribosomal RNA (111 nucleotides) under Callithrix jacchus (white-tufted-ear marmoset). The record is from RNAcentral. Lineage: Eukaryota; Metazoa; Chordata; Mammalia; Primates; Cebidae.